UUUUGAUUAAAUGGAGAACUAUUAGGAGCCCUGGGAAAUGGACUUCUCCUGCCAGUUCUAAAAGUUAAAAGGCAGUUUGAUAUAAAAAUUUAUAAAUUAAGGUUAAUUACUUUAAAUAACAUGGCUGGAAGCAAUAAAAAGAAAUUUAUAAUAUUCUCUGGAGUUUUAGGAAAAUAAUAUAGAUAUCCACACCUCUCAAUGGAAAAUCGAAUUAGCGUCCCCAAGUACAGGUCGACCAAGACAAAGGCAAAAUAAACGGGCAGACAAAGGGGCUGUGUGGGAACCGAGCCGCCCAGCUCUGCUCUGCCACACAGCUCCGUGCCCACUGCCACUGCAACGGUGCAGAGGAGCAGCACUGCUUCACUUCUGCCUUUGAAACCACAGCAAGCACGAUGCAAACCAAACCAUGGGUACCGAAGAUGUCCAAAGAGGCAGGCUGACUCUCCUGCCCUCGAAGACAGGUUUGGCUCCACGAGCAGCCUCUGGAGAGAUAGUCCCUCCUGACUCCUCACCAUGGCAACCGGUGUCUCAUUUCAGAAGUGUCAUGCCACAUUAUCAUCUUGCCGGCUCACACACUCCUGCCUGACAAGUUCUCUCUGCCCCUUGUGACAACCAUUCCAGGCUUAUGCUGUUUAUUUUUGGUGUCAGGCUGGCCCUGGCAGAUUGAAAGGCAACCUCAACCCCUUGAACAACAAGCACCACACCCCACUUGGCGAUAAGAGAUGAUUUGAGAAGAUAUUUGCUUACAUGUGUAUAAGCAAUUUGCUGUAUGAUGAAGCCCCGGUGUGCCUGUGUGAACGCACACGUAUGUGUGCAAAGGGGAAGGAACUGCAGAAGCGUAACAUUUCAUGAGAAAACAAACAAUUCAUUGCGGAUCCCAGGUAGCAGGCUUCAAUCAUCACAUCCCAUCGUACACACAGAACGUGAAACGUGGGCCACAAAGGCACCACGGGUACUCCCCACAAAGAGAAACGACAGCUAAGCUCGGUCUGUCCCUGCAAAACAGCCUCGCUGUGUCCCUGCAGAGCGCUGCGAGAUGCAGCGGCAGAGGCACCCCAUAGGAGGAAUGGGGACAAAACACGACAGUUCACUGCAGAAACACGCUAGGGCCAGAUUCAUCUCUGCUGUCAUGGAGUCCAUUUGGAACAGCACUGUUGUCAUUGAAUUACUUGGGACUGCCUGCAAUUGGAAUCACAGAACCUUGUCUUCAAGUAGCAGGCUGCGUGCAUCAUGGAGACUUCCUUUUAACUAUCCAAUUUUUACAGCCUGUACAUAAGCAGGACUAUGUCUACAGCUAGGGUUUCUUGGUGUAAGCACAAUUAAAGCUGAUAGUAAUUACAAAAGUAUGUAUUACAUUUGUUUUUAACGCUAAACUUAAGAAUACGGCAGUAUUUGUUUUAUGUUUACUUGGCUGGUUGAGGUGGUGGUGGUAGAGCAGGGCUUCUCUCCACUCCGAGUCAGGGAUAGCGUCCCACCCUCCCACCUCACCAGGCACAGAACAAGCUGCUCCUGGACCAACUGUUCCAUUGCUACCUGUCAGGAGGAAAGCUGCAGGGAAUCGGACAUGAUGUCCGGGUAGCAGCAGCACGAAGGAGAAAUGAAGGAGCAGGUUGGCAGAUCAACACAGAUUUCAUAUUUACUAUCCAGCCCAGUUAUUGUAGGCUGUGCCUACAGCUGUGCACUUGAUUUAGUUUACAGGCACUGCUUCAGCCCUGGUAAGAGGUGGGAGUGUGCUUCACCGCGGCGUUUACACAGAUCACAACGUAAACAAAACUUGACCCAACACCUUUUAUGUUAUCUCAGAGAAAGAAUCAUAAACUGAGCAAAAUCCACACCAUUAACUCCAGUGCAGUCUUUGAUCAAAUCGGGAGCUAAAAGGAAAACAGAUUUCCUUAAAAACAAACUAACAAAGCAGUAUGUGCAUUUCAUUUUUAAUCCAUUUUCUAGCAACCACACCAUAGAAAGGCAGAGGCUCACAACAGCAAUGCAUCUGAACACAAAAUAUGGCCAUCCCAAGGCACACUAAUGGCAUCCACAGCGCUGGUAAGAGGGAGCACGGAUGUUUUUACAACUGUAGGAUGGGGAAAAUUACUGUUGAUUAUGGAGCAGCAAUGAAAUGCCACAGUUGUGAGUGAUAAACACAGCAAAUGCUACAGGGGGUCCUUCUGGAAAAGGAAAAAAGGGGAACGUUUCGUCAUGCAGAAAAAUAUCCCAGGAAAAAAGGAUGGAGGUGACGCCUGCGUGGCUGUUACCAACCACGGGCUUCAUUCUGCCCCCAGCUGCACACGUGCAACCCAUCACCAGGUAAGAUUUCUCAGUUUCUAUAGCGAAUGCAGGUGUACACCUAAGGGCAGAUUGUAACUUCCUCUCUCAAACAAAACACAGCGAAUGGAGACGGGCUCCCAUUGCAGCAGAACACUGCACAGCCACUUUGCCCUACAGGAAACACCGUAUGCAUGUCAGCCAGCAGAACCUUCUUACUUCUUCUCGUUAGUACUGUGCAUACGCAACCAGAUGCAAAUAUAUACACUUGCAUGCAUUGCUACUGCCACAUAACCCAGCCUGGGAUAUCCCAUUCCCAAACACCUGAGUACCUACACAGCUCUUCAUGGGUGCAAAGCCUCCAGGACUGCAGCAAUGAAACAGCGGAACAGAACUCACAUUGCCUGCGAGGCCCAUCUAUUCAUCUCUGCCCACAAGACUCCCUCGCACCACUGCAUGCUUUUUAUACUUCAUUAAAGCAAAUCACUGAUGUUCUUCAGCUGACAAACAUCCCCGGAAAGGAUGCAAAGAGCGGCAAGAAUUCGGCUUUGGCAAGCAGAUCUAUUUUCAUCUUACAUUUACAGUUGCUUGUGCAUAUCUAUAUAUCCAUCUGCAUCCCUAUCUUCAUAAAAACCUAACUGCAACAAAAUAAAUGAUAAUAAUUCUGCUGUUUCUGUUUCCGCUCUUCCCCAUCAGAAAGCUGGUAAUAAAACAAGCUCUCUAAAACAGGCAUUACCAACCCAGGCCAUGCAAACAAACACUUCACUGUUUUAUAAUCUCACAUGUCGAAUGAACAUCAUCGUUCCCUUUGGUGCCUUAAAAUAUCGGGUCCAUAAAAUUACUAAAAGGCAGAGCAGCAAUGCUGCCUAACACGCAGCCCACGGGAAGGCUGACAGUGCCCCAUCAGCUUCGCUUGUUGGCAGCUCUGAAUGUGCGUAGCACUGUUGGUUGGGCAAAGCGCUCACAGAGCACUGCGUGAACACAGCCGGGCCGUGGGAGCAGCACACCACGAGGUGACCCCGAGCCCUGGGGAUGCGGAUGGUGCAGUGUCCCUUUGGCCUUCUGCAGGCGGAAGAUGCCAGCACUUAUCCUAGCUGUGCAGCACAGAGGGCUCAAGGAGAAAUACCGUGGGACACCAGAUAUGGGCAUUAGAGCGCAAUCCCUUACAGAGCGUGGUCAGUCCACUGCUGUAGUUGGUUUUAAACAGCACUGUGCACUGCGUGAUGGAUGUUGACAAAAAAAAACAACCCCAUAAUUACAAACAAACAAAAAAAAAGACCCAAACCCUGAACCGACGUCACUGGUGAAAGACGCAGAAAUGAAAACACAGCACAGAGCAGCUGAGGGCAGGGGCGCCCUGUCCUGCGGGAGCAGCAGCGGAGCGGAGCAGCACCACAACCGCCCGGCAGCG
RNAcentral lists this long non-coding RNA (3673 nucleotides) under Gallus gallus (chicken). Its description in RNAcentral is "lncRNA (ENSGALG00010029798.1)". Lineage: Eukaryota; Metazoa; Chordata; Aves; Galliformes; Phasianidae. The record is from RNAcentral.